UACGGAGGAUGCGAGCGUUAUCCGGAUUUAUUGGGUUUAAAGGGUGCGUAGGCGGCCGAGUAAGUCAGCGGUGAAAUUUUGCAGCUUAACUGUAACAGUGCCGUUGAUACUGCAUGGCUAGGAUUUGGUUGCUGUGGGUGGAAUGUGUGGUGUAGCGGUGAAAUGCUUAGAUAUCACACAGAAUAUCAAUUGCGAAGGCAGCUCACAAAGCCAAGAUUGACGCUGAGGCACGAAAGUAGUGGGGAGUCAAA
This 251-nucleotide ribosomal RNA is filed under the name uncultured prokaryote. Its description in RNAcentral is "partial 16S ribosomal RNA". It matches the Rfam family "Bacterial small subunit ribosomal RNA", at positions 524 to 773 of the family's 1533-position model. The record is from RNAcentral.